AUGCCCCAUACCCCUAAUGCUCUUGAUUUCUUGUCAACUUUACCUGGUUGCGAACAAGAAAAUUACCAUUCGCAAGACCCUGUAAUGACGAUCGUAUCAGGGGAAGGCGCACAGAUGGACUGCAGCUUUGUCAAAGACACGUUUAUAGAUGCCACGGAUAUCAUGGUGAAACGAGCCCUCGAAGGACUGAACGACUCUACCCUUGGUGAUCCCAAGCAGCGCAUCAUGCUUGAGAGCGUUUCUCCGACACUGCCCACGCAAGUACCUGAGGUAGCUAAGGUGCAUGCCAUGUUGGUCGGGCUUAUUGACCUUUCCAAGAAAUUGGAGGUUGGCCAGACUGAGUUCACGAAUGGAUCCGAGCGAGAUGAACAUGUUGCUGCUGAAGUCGGGCUUAAAAUUAAGUCGGGCCACGAAGUUUCCGAGGCUGCAAUUAGGGACUUAUCUGACCUAGACAAGAAGUGUGCUGACAUGGAGGUGCAGGAAGCAGCGCUUAAGGUGCAGCUUGAGGAGGCUAUCGCCAGUUUGCAGAAGCUUAAACUAGAGAGGGAACAACGCUGA
Molecule: ribosomal RNA, 558 nt
Filed under: Triticum aestivum (bread wheat)
Lineage: Eukaryota; Viridiplantae; Streptophyta; Magnoliopsida; Poales; Poaceae
Description: partial small subunit ribosomal RNA
Source: RNAcentral